RNAcentral lists this ribosomal RNA (253 nucleotides) under uncultured bacterium. RNAcentral describes it as "partial 16S ribosomal RNA". It matches the Rfam family "Bacterial small subunit ribosomal RNA", at positions 524 to 776 of the family's 1533-position model. The record is from RNAcentral.
UACGUAGGGUGCAAGCGUUGUCCGGAAUUAUUGGGCGUAAAGCGCACGUAGGCGGCUUGGCAAGUCGGAUGUGAAAUCCCUCGGCUCAACCAAGGAAGUGCAUCCGAAACUGCUGAGCUUGAGUACUUAAGAGGAUCGCGGAAUUCCCGGUGUAGAGGUGAAAUUCGUAGAUAUCGGGAGGAACACCAGUGGCGAAGGCGGCGAUCUGGGAAGAUACUGACGCUGAGGUGCGAAAGCGUGGGGAGCAAACAGG